This 445-nucleotide ribosomal RNA is filed under the name uncultured bacterium. RNAcentral describes it as "partial 16S ribosomal RNA". It matches the Rfam family "Bacterial small subunit ribosomal RNA", at positions 354 to 796 of the family's 1533-position model. The record is from RNAcentral.
GUGAGGAAUAUUGGACAAUGGAUGGAAAUCUGAUCCAGCCAUGCCGCGUGCAGGAAGACGGCCCUAUGGGUUGUAAACUGCUUUUGUAUGGGAGCAAUAAGGGUUACGAGUAGCCUGAUGAGAGUACCAUACGAAUAAGGACCGGCUAACUCCGUGCCAGCAGCCGCGGUAAUACGGAGGGUCCGAGCGUUAUCCGGAUUUAUUGGGUUUAAAGGGUGCGUAGGCGGUUUUAUAAGUCAGCGGUGAAAUUUUCCGACUCAACCGGGGGACUGCCGUUGAUACUGUAAGGCUAGGAUAUGGUUGCUGUGGGUGGAAUGUGUGGUGUAGCGGUGAAAUGCGUAGAGAUCACACAGAAUAUCGAUUGCGAAGGCAGCUCACAAAGCCAUCAUUGACGCUGAGGCACGAAAGUGUGGGGAUCAAACAGGAUUAGAUACCCGGGUAGUCC